UACAGAGGUGGCAAGCGUUGUUCGGAAUUACUGGGCGUAAAGGGCGCGUAGGCGGCCCGUCAAGUCCCGUGUGAAAGCCCCCGGCUCAACCGGGGAAUGGCACGGGAAACUAGCAGGCUUGAGUUCGGGAGAGGGAAGCGGAAUUUCGGGUGUAGCGGUGAAAUGCGCAGAUAUCCGAAGGAACACCGGUGGCGAAGGCGGCUUCCUGGACCGACACUGACGCUGAGGCGCGAAAGCUAGGGGAGCAAACGGG
RNAcentral lists this ribosomal RNA (253 nucleotides) under uncultured bacterium. RNAcentral's name for it is "partial 16S ribosomal RNA". It matches the Rfam family "Bacterial small subunit ribosomal RNA", at positions 524 to 776 of the family's 1533-position model. The record is from RNAcentral.